This 68-nucleotide transfer RNA is filed under the name Schedorhinotermes translucens. RNAcentral's name for it is "tRNA-Phe". Lineage: Eukaryota; Metazoa; Arthropoda; Insecta; Blattodea; Rhinotermitidae. The record is from RNAcentral. RNAcentral also lists the same sequence under 2 other names.
ACUUGAAUAGCUUAUUUUUUAGAGCGUGACACUGAAGAUGUCAAUGAGGUUUAUUUGGCCUUUGAGUA